This 851-nucleotide long non-coding RNA is filed under the name Fukomys damarensis (Damara mole-rat). Its description in RNAcentral is "lncRNA (ENSFDAG00000027391.1)". Lineage: Eukaryota; Metazoa; Chordata; Mammalia; Rodentia; Bathyergidae. The record is from RNAcentral.
AUGUCCUUCUCACCCAGGUACACGCAGCUCCGCAGGGAAAAGGAGGGGCCGUGCAGAAAUCUUGCUUUGGGUCUCCCAGACCUCGUCUGUCCGCGCCGCGCACACCACCACCCCUGCGGUUCCCAGCUGAAUUCUGAGGGGAGACUUUCCUCGUCUGUGGCUCUUACAGAAGAAAAGCAACAUGUUUUCAUUGUCCUUGGGACCCUGUUUUCAGUCCCUACCCUCGUGACUCCCUGGACCCUUGAUGUCAUUCUGAGGACACUGCAACUGCCUCGAAAUUCUCUCUCAAAUUCUUACCCAUGUGUAUAGUGACACCAGAUUCAUCUUUGGAAAAAAGUUCAUUUGUUUGUGUUCAUUUCUUACUCAGAAAUGCUCAGUGAAUGGCUUCCCUUUUCCAUGAAAGAGAGCCCAAACUCUUCAAUCUUGCAGUCACAGUCUUCGGAAACAUCUUCCCCGGCUUUCUCCAGCAUACCUUGUGUGUUGUGUGGGCCACGUGAUAACUCAUUCGCCUUCUGGCUGGGCUCCCCAGAGAUUAAAGACCCUCCUGCCAGUUAUGAAGAGUCUGCCGAUUCCUAAAGACUCAACCGAGUAUGCCUUUGUGGACUGAUCUUCUCCUAAGUUCAGUCCCAGAUGACCUCUCCCUUUUGUUUCUCAUCUGAGAUUGGAUAUCAGUGAUCUGAUGAUUAUACAUGCCCAGCAUAUUACAAUUGCUAUAUGUGUAUUGCAGUUGUAAUUUUGCACAUAUCUUAACUUUGUCCAUCUCUGGAGCACUGACUAAUAUCUCUUUAUGUAUAGCACAUCAUAGUAUUAAAUGAAGCACAUUACACAUAGCAGGCAUUUAAAGUUUUCAU